UACGUAGGGUGCAAGCAUUAAUCGGAGUUAUUGGGCGUAAAGGGCGCGUAGGCGGAUUUGUAAGUCAGAUGCGAAAUUCCGGGGCUCAACCUCGGAGCUGCAUUUGAAACUGUGAAUCUAGAGGGUUGACGGAGAAAACGGAAUUCCACGUGUAGCGGUGAAAUGCGUAGAUAUGUGGAAGAACACCAGUGGCGAAAGCGGUUUUCUAGUUAACAACUGACGCUGAGGCGCGAGAGCAAGGCGAGCAAACAGG
This 253-nucleotide ribosomal RNA is filed under the name uncultured bacterium. RNAcentral describes it as "partial 16S ribosomal RNA". It matches the Rfam family "Bacterial small subunit ribosomal RNA", at positions 524 to 776 of the family's 1533-position model. The record is from RNAcentral.